This 550-nucleotide ribosomal RNA is filed under the name uncultured bacterium. RNAcentral's name for it is "bacterial SSU rRNA". It matches the Rfam family "Bacterial small subunit ribosomal RNA", at positions 355 to 896 of the family's 1533-position model. The record is from RNAcentral.
UAGGGAAUCUUCGGCAAUGGACGGAAGUCUGACCGAGCAACGCCGCGAGAGUGAAGAAGGUUUUCGGAUCGUAAAGCUCUGUUGUAAGAGAAGAACGAGUGUGAGAGUGGAAAGUUCACACUGUGACGGUAUCUUACCAGAAAGGGACGGCUAACUACGUGCCAGCAGCCGCGGUAAUACGUAGGUCCCGAGCGUUGUCCGGAUUUAUUGGGCGUAAAGCGAGCGCAGGCGGUUAGAUAAGUCUGAAGUUAAAGGCUGUGGCUUAACCAUAGUAGGCUUUGGAAACUGUUUAACUUGAGUGCAAGAGGGGAGAGUGGAAUUCCAUGUGUAGCGGUGAAAUGCGUAGAUAUAUGGAGGAACACCGGUGGCGAAAGCGGCUCUCUGGCUUGUAACUGACGCUGAGGCUCGAAAGCGUGGGGAGCAAACAGGAUUAGAUACCCUGGUAGUCCACGCUGUAAACGAUGAGUGCUAGGUGUUAGACCCUUUCCGGGGUUUAGUGCCGUAGCUAACGCAUUAAGCACUCCGCCUGGGGAGUACGACCGCAAGGUUG